UACGGAGGGGACUAGCGUUGUUCGGAAUUACUGGGCGUAAAACGCACGUAGGCGGAUUUGUAAGUCAGGGGUGAAAUCCCGGGGCUCAACCUCGGAACUGCCUUUGAUACUGCAAAUCUCGAGUCCGGAAGAGGUGAGUGGAAUUCCUAGUGUAGAGGUGAAAUUCGUAGAUAUUAGGAAGAACACCAGUGGCGAAGGCGGCUCACUGGUCCGGUACUGACGCUGAGGUGCGAAAGCGUGGGGAGCAAACAGG
RNAcentral lists this ribosomal RNA (253 nucleotides) under uncultured bacterium. RNAcentral describes it as "partial 16S ribosomal RNA". It matches the Rfam family "Bacterial small subunit ribosomal RNA", at positions 524 to 776 of the family's 1533-position model. The record is from RNAcentral.